RNAcentral lists this ribosomal RNA (390 nucleotides) under uncultured bacterium. RNAcentral describes it as "bacterial SSU rRNA". It matches the Rfam family "Bacterial small subunit ribosomal RNA", at positions 144 to 567 of the family's 1533-position model. The record is from RNAcentral.
CAACUCUUGGAAACGAGAGCUAAUACCCGAUACGCUGUGGAGUGAAAGAAUUUCGCCGAGGGAUGAUCUUGCGUCUGAUUAGCUAGUUGGUGUGGUAAUGGCACACCAAGGCGACGAUCAGUAGCUGGUCUGAGAGGAUGGACAGCCACAUUGGAACUGAGACACGGUCCAAACUCCUACGGGAGGCAGCAGUGGGGAAUUUUCCGCAAUGGACGCAAGUCUGACGGAGCGACGCUGCGUGAAGGAUGACGGCCCGCGGGUUGUAAACUUCUUUUCUCGAAGAAGAAACAAAUGACGGUAUUCGAGGAAUAAGCAUCGGCUAACUCCGUGCCAGCAGCCGCGGUAAGACGGAGGAUGCAAGUGUUAUUCGGAAUGAUUGGGCGUAAAGAG